RNAcentral lists this ribosomal RNA (492 nucleotides) under uncultured bacterium. Its description in RNAcentral is "partial 16S ribosomal RNA". It matches the Rfam family "Bacterial small subunit ribosomal RNA", at positions 28 to 507 of the family's 1533-position model. The record is from RNAcentral.
GAUGAACGCUAGCUACAGGCUUAACACAUGCAAGUCGAGGGGAAACGACAUCGAAAGCUUGCUUUUGAUGGGCGUCGACCGGCGCACGGGUGAGUAACGCGUAUCCAACCUGCCCACCACUUGGGGAUAACCUUGCGAAAGUAAGACUAAUACCCAAUGACGUCUCUAGAAGUCAUCUGAAAGAGAUUAAAGAUUUAUCGGUGAUGGAUGGGGAUGCGUCUGAUUAGCUUGUUGGCGGGGUAACGGCCCACCAAGGCGACGAUCAGUAGGGGUUCUGAGAGGAAGGUCCCCCACAUUGGAACUGAGACACGGUCCAAACUCCUACGGGAGGCAGCAGUGAGGAAUAUUGGUCAAUGGACGAGAGUCUGAACCAGCCAAGUAGCGUGCAGGAUGACGGCCCUAUGGGUGGUAAACUGCUUUUAUAAGGGAAUAAAGUGAGUCUCGUGAGACUUUUUGCAUGUACCUUAUGAAUAAGGACCGGCUAAUUCCGUG